RNAcentral lists this ribosomal RNA (407 nucleotides) under uncultured bacterium. RNAcentral describes it as "partial 16S ribosomal RNA". It matches the Rfam family "Bacterial small subunit ribosomal RNA", at positions 30 to 526 of the family's 1533-position model. The record is from RNAcentral.
AUUGAACGCUGGCGGCAGGCCUAACACAUGCAAGUCGAGCGGAGCGGCGGACGGGUGAGUAAUGCCUAGGAAUCUGCCUGUUCGUGGGGGAUACCUUCCGGAACCGGGCGCUAAUACCGCAUCCUUUCAGUUGACCCUAGGUCGGAUUCGCUAUUUGGGGGGGUAAAGGCCGACCAAGGCGACGAUCCGUAACUGGUCUGAGAGGAUGAUCAGUAAAACUGGAACUGAGAAACGGUCCAGACUCCUACGGGAGGCAGCAGUGGGGAAUAUUGGACAAUGGGCGAAAGCCUGAUCCAGCCAUGCCGCGUGUGUGAAGAAGGUCUUCGGAUUGUAAAGCACUUUAAGUUGGGAGGCGUUACCAACAGAAUAAGCACCGGCUAACUUCGUGCCAGCAGCCGCGGUAAUAC